UUCCGCAUUCCUGACCUCGGAUCAGACGUGAAUACCCGCUGAACUUAAGCAUAUCACUAAGCGGAGGAAAAGAAACUAACCAGG
This 84-nucleotide ribosomal RNA is filed under the name Echinochasmus sp. Li48. RNAcentral's name for it is "partial 28S ribosomal RNA". The stretch from base 12 to 84 matches the Rfam family "Eukaryotic large subunit ribosomal RNA", at positions 1 to 73 of the family's 3401-position model. Lineage: Eukaryota; Metazoa; Platyhelminthes; Trematoda; Plagiorchiida; Echinochasmidae. The record is from RNAcentral.